GGAGCCCAGCCGGGACUGUCGCGCGGGCCGCGCCGGCGAUGCCGCGCCCCCGGGCCGGGCUGUAGCGGGGCCGCGGCCGGAGUGUGCGCCGAGCAGGCGGGACAUGGAGGUGGUGGACGAGACGGAGGCGCUGCAGCGCUUCUUCGAAGGCCACGACAUCAACGGUGCCCUGGAGCCCUCCAACAUAGACACCAGCAUCCUGGAGGAGUACAUCAGCAAGGAGGAUGCCUCCGACCUGUGAGUGGCCCCCUCGCCCAGCCUGCACCCGCCCAGCCCCAGCCCUUCGCCUCCCUUCUGUCACCAGGGAGGUCUGAGGGCUGGACCUGGGGUCUGCUGUGGUCCCACCUCUGAAAGCUGCUCCUCGUCCCUUCCCAGCCACUGACUCCUCCGAAAUCUCCAUAGUUCCCUGCAGGGAGGGGGCGGCUACUUCCCUGCUGGGGCUGGGGUCCUGGCUGGAGCUGAGCCGCCCCUCUUCCCUGCAGCUGCUUCCCUGACAUCUCUGCUCCAGCCAGCUCGGCCUCCUACUCCCAUGGGCAGCCUGCGAUGCCCGGCUCCAGCGGGGUCCACCACCUGAGCCCCCCUGGGGGUGGACCCUCCCCGGGGCGCCAUGGUCCCCUCCCACCCCCGGGCUAUGGCACCCCGCUGAACUGCAACAACAACAACGGCAUGGGCGCUGCCCCCAAGCCCUUCCCGGGGGGCACCGGGCCCCCCAUCAAGGCCGAGCCCAAGGCUCCCUAUGCCCCAGGGUGAGUAAGGGCAGGGAGUAGGGGGAUACAGCGGCACAGGGGCAGGCAGGGAGCAGGGCUGUGGCCGUGACCUGGGAGGUGCUAGACACUGGCCUGGCAUGGGAUGGGCUGGGUGACUGGCUGUGCGUGGGCAGGUGAGGGAAGGGAGGAUGAGUCCAGGCCAAGGGGGGACUCCUGGGCUUUGUUCUGAGGCAGUGGGCAGCCACGAAGCUUCUAAGUAUGGGAGUGAUGAGGGCUGACGUAAGUGCUAGAAAAAUCUCGAUGCUGUGUGGAGAGUGGACAGGAGGCGGCGGGACUGGAGGCUGUGACUGUUUACCUUCAUGGGAACACCUGCAUACCCGUGCACGCGCGCCAAGCCCACCCACUUACGCAUCCAGCUGACGUGUACUGUGGCCACAGAAGCUGGCCCAUGGCUCAGAUGUGGCACCUCAGUUCCCCCCUACCCAAGCAAGCCUCAUGGGGCCCAGAACCCAGGCCCUUCCCCCCAUCUUUCUGAGGAGUCCACACCAAGGGCCUGACCCAGGGCUGAACCUUAGGCCUGGCUUUGACCAAAGGUUCCAGGCAGCCACCCGGCCAGCCAGACUCCAGGGCAGCUCCCGGAGCACAUGCUCACAGUGGGAGGCUGGGAGCAUGGGUCUGCAGGGGA
This 1392-nucleotide small RNA is filed under the name Pan troglodytes (chimpanzee). RNAcentral describes it as "retained intron". The record is from RNAcentral. Lineage: Eukaryota; Metazoa; Chordata; Mammalia; Primates; Hominidae.